UACGGAGGGUGCGAGCGUUAAUCGGAAUUACUGGGCGUAAAGGGUGCGUAGGUGGUUGUAUAAGUUAUCUGUGAAAUCCCUGGGCUCAACCUGGGCAGGUCAGAUAAAACUGUAGGACUCGAGUAUAGGAGAGGGUAGUGGAAUUUCCGGUGUAGCGGUGAAAUGCGUAGAGAUCGGAAGGAACACCAGUGGCGAAGGCGGCUACCUGGCCUAAUACUGACACUGAGGCACGAAAGCGUGGGGAGCAAACAGG
This 253-nucleotide ribosomal RNA is filed under the name uncultured bacterium. RNAcentral's name for it is "partial 16S ribosomal RNA". It matches the Rfam family "Bacterial small subunit ribosomal RNA", at positions 524 to 776 of the family's 1533-position model. The record is from RNAcentral.